RNAcentral lists this ribosomal RNA (502 nucleotides) under uncultured Glomeromycotina. RNAcentral's name for it is "partial small subunit ribosomal RNA". It matches the Rfam family "Eukaryotic small subunit ribosomal RNA", at positions 591 to 1092 of the family's 1831-position model. Lineage: Eukaryota; Fungi; Glomeromycota. The record is from RNAcentral.
CCAAUAGCGUAUAUUAAAGUUGUUGCAGUUAAAAAGCUCGUAGUUGAAUUUCGGAAUUUUUUUAUCGGUUGAAUCAACAGGUUCGUACUGAUUUUAAGAAUUUCUACCUUCUGGAGAACCUUAAUGUCAUUAAUUUGGUGUUUUGGGAAACCAGGACUGUUACCUUGAAAAAAUUAGAGUGUUUAAAGCAGGCUUAUGUCUGAAUAUAUUAGCAUGGAAUAAUGAAAUAGGACGGCAUGGUUCUAUUUUGUUGGUUUCUAGGAUCACCGUAAUGAUUAAUAGGGAUAGUUGGGGGCAUUAGUAUUCAAUUGUCAGAGGUGAAAUUCUUGGAUUUAUUGAAGACUAACUUCUGCGAAAGCAUUUGCCAAGGAUGUUUUCAUUAAUCAAGAACGAAAGUUAGGGGAUCGAAGACGAUCAGAUACCGUCGUAGUCUUAACCAUAAACUAUGCCGACUAGGAAUCGGACGAAGUUAAUUUUUUAAUGACUCGUUCGGCGCCUUACG